GGCUCGUUGGUCUAGGGGUAUGAUUCUUGCUUUGGGUGUAAGAGGUUCCGGGUUCAUAUCCUGGACGAGCCC
This is a non-coding RNA of Danionella cerebrum, 72 nucleotides long. NCBI's taxonomy places the organism in Eukaryota, Metazoa, Chordata, Actinopteri, Cypriniformes, Danionidae. The record is from the annotation of a GenBank genome assembly.